Molecule: ribosomal RNA, 604 nt
Filed under: uncultured beta proteobacterium
Lineage: Bacteria; Pseudomonadati; Pseudomonadota; Betaproteobacteria
Description: bacterial SSU rRNA
Rfam family: Bacterial small subunit ribosomal RNA
Source: RNAcentral
ACAGGAUUAGAUACCCUGGUAGUCCACGCCGUAAACGGUGCUGACUAGUUGUUCGGGAUUUACAUCCUGAGUAACGUAGCUAACGCGUGAAGUCAGCCGCCUGGGGAGUACGGUCGCAAGAUUAAAACUCAAAGGAAUUGACGGGGACCCGCACAAGCGGUGGAUGAUGUGGAUUAAUUCGAUGCAACGCGAAAAACCUUACCUACCCUUGACAUGUCACUAACGAAGUAGAGAUACAUUAGGUGCUCGUAAGAGAAAGUGAACACAGGUGCUGCAUGGCUGUCGUCAGCUCGUGUCGUGAGAUGUUGGGUUAAGUCCCGCAACGAGCGCAACCCUUGUCUUUAGUUGCUACGCAAGAGCACUCUAAAGAGACUGCCGGUGACAAACCGGAGGAAGGUGGGGAUGACGUCAAGUCCUCAUGGCCCUUAUGGGUAGGGCUUCACACGUCAUACAAUGGUGCAUACAGAGGGUUGCCCACCCGCGAGGGGGAGCUAAUCUCAGAAAAUGCAUCGUAGUCCGGAUCGUAGUCUGCAACUCGACUACGUGAAGCUGGAAUCGCUAGUAAUCGCGGAUCAGAAUGUCGCGGUGAAUACGUUCCCGGGUC